AAAAAUGUAUAAAUAAUGAUGUGACAUUGAUCAAUAAAUUAGUGUUUUUUUCUUCCACUGAUUUAUGUAAAAUUUAAAAAUUAUAAUUAAUUAAUAUUUGAAAUCCUAAUUCUAAAAUUCAUUGUAGAGCAGUGAAGGUUGAAGAUGAAUUGAAACACAGACUCAUUGCAGAGUGCAGAGCAGUAGAGAAAGUUCAAGUUCCAGCAAGCUUUAACUAUGUAAAUGUGGAGUCACAGCACUCAUUUGGACUACAAUGACAGAUGGAAACCAUGGAAAGAAAUUUCACAGCUCUGGUAGACUAAUAGGUAUAAUAUGGAAGAGAAGAGAUGCACCUUCUUUCAAUUGGUUGACGACGGAACGCCUUGUAAUAGAUAUAAAAGAAUAUUUAACAAUUUGAAUGAGAAGAUAAAAGGUUGUGAGGAUGAAAUUGAGGGCUAUAAGGAUUCAAUUGAGCUGGGGAGGUUGAAUUGAUGACAGUGGUAAAGCAAACUCGGAUGCUUAUCAAGCUUUUGGAGAAUGAUCUAAGAAUUGAAAAUGAAGUGAAGCACUUGCUUGAAUAAGAGACAACUCUAAAGCAAUUGGUGGAAUACAUGCAAUAUGCAAUGAGGCUCAGAAGACAGGUAUAGAUUUUGUAUUUG
This 638-nucleotide unclassified non-coding RNA is filed under the name Hevea brasiliensis (rubber tree). Lineage: Eukaryota; Viridiplantae; Streptophyta; Magnoliopsida; Malpighiales; Euphorbiaceae. The record is from RNAcentral.